RNAcentral lists this small nucleolar RNA (128 nucleotides) under Sorex araneus (European shrew). RNAcentral's name for it is "Small nucleolar RNA SNORA68 (ENSSARG00000019899.1)". The record is from RNAcentral. Lineage: Eukaryota; Metazoa; Chordata; Mammalia; Eulipotyphla; Soricidae.
ACCUACAGAUCCACUGCUUGGGAAGCCCCACCAGGGCGGCCAAUAAAAAGUAGGACAGGAACAGGAUCUCUUGCCAUUGGGUGUGAUUCGACUCUGCCCCUCAGAGUGAAUCUGGAGAUUCUACAGCA